CGCAUGACGGGGCAACUCGGCAUGUGAUUAAGCAGAAGUCAGCAGACGGCAUAGUAGCCAAAUGCCCAUCGUAAUGGUUGGGACAGGGUGAAGGCC
Molecule: non-coding RNA, 96 nt
Organism: Shewanella benthica KT99
Lineage: Bacteria; Pseudomonadati; Pseudomonadota; Gammaproteobacteria; Alteromonadales; Shewanellaceae
Source: Rfam